GAGGAUAUAGCUCAAGUAGUAGAGCAUAUGCCUUGCAUGCAUAAGAUCAUGAGUUCAAUCCCCAGUACCUCCU
This 73-nucleotide transfer RNA is filed under the name Camelus bactrianus (Bactrian camel). It matches the Rfam family "tRNA". From Rfam's summary of the family: Transfer RNA (tRNA) molecules are approximately 80 nucleotides in length. Their secondary structure includes four short double-helical elements and three loops (D, anti-codon, and T loops). Further hydrogen bonds mediate the characteristic L-shaped molecular structure. tRNAs have two regions of fundamental functional importance: the anti-codon, which is responsible for specific mRNA codon recognition, and the 3' end, to which the tRNAs corresponding amino acid is attached (by aminoacyl-tRNA synthetases). tRNAs cope with the degeneracy of the genetic code in two manners: having more than one tRNA (with a specific anti-codon) for a particular amino acid; and 'wobble' base-pairing, i.e. permitting non-standard base-pairing at the 3rd anti-codon position. RNAcentral also lists the same sequence under 1 other name. Lineage: Eukaryota; Metazoa; Chordata; Mammalia; Artiodactyla; Camelidae. The record is from Rfam by way of RNAcentral.